This 68-nucleotide transfer RNA is filed under the name Cryptolestes pusillus. RNAcentral describes it as "tRNA-Arg". Lineage: Eukaryota; Metazoa; Arthropoda; Insecta; Coleoptera; Laemophloeidae. The record is from RNAcentral.
AAAUAAGAAGUAAAAUAUUACAUUUAGUUUCGACCUAACCUUUGGCUUUUAGCCCUUAUUUAUUAAUU